AAAGGACAUUAUCUAACUGGUUUAUGCAUCUUAUUUCUUUCUUCUUCUCCAUUGUUUUAAAGGCCGAAAGAGAAGUCAAGAAACAUCAGAACGAUGAAAUUGCUUCUUGUGGCAUAAUUAAGUAAUACGGUCUUGCAUCCAAUGAAGAGCCAAAGAGACAUAGGGACGAUUCACACUAUGAAUCAAUUUCAAUCUCCUUUCUACAACUCAAAAUUCUAUCUUGAAGAUCGUUGUUGAAGAAUGAACAAAAGGUCUCAUGCUCACAAUCUUAUAGUUGUCUCAAGUGAUUUGUAAAAAAAUGGAGUUGGAGUUUGGCUUUAAAUCCGAACUUCAACGCCAUCUUUUUUUCAGAUUAUUUGAGACAACCAUAAGAACCUAAAAUGUGAGUUUCUUAUCUUUGAUUCGUUCUUUGCUCCACAAUCUUCAAGUGUGAGUUUUGGAUUAUAGAAAGGCGAUUUGAUUGAUUCAUGGUGAAUCAUCUUUAUAACUAGCCUACUUUUCUUGGAUUCAUGAUAGGAUGCAGAAUUAGAUAUGGUUAUAUAAAAUAGUAGAACUCCAAAAAUAAUACUACAAAGGAACAAUUCCACUACAAGUAUCUACUCUUGGUCAUUCAUUCAUACAUACAUACAUACAUGUGUAUAUUCUUUAGUUGUAUUGAAUUAUAAUAUAGCUAAGAUACUUUAUAUUACUUUCCGAUAGUCGCAUAUACAUGUGUAUAUUCUUUACACAUGAAAAUUAAAAAUACAAGUUACUAAAAUAUGAUUGUUGAUUCUCGUUAGCUAGCUAAUAAAGGUUAGAAUUUGAUGUUGAAUUAAAAGUAUAAUAAUGGUAAGGAGACCUAGUAUCUGAUUAGCAAUAGAUUUAAUUAGAAUAUGCAUGGUUAUGAGAGAAUUUCUUCUUUUCUUCUGCUUUGGUUUCUUGGCUCAAUCUCUUCAACUUUCCAGCUCUGUUUGCUCUAUGGACUCUUCUCAUGGGUGCCAUUGGGAUGGAAAUUCAAUAAUUCUUCCAAAUCGCUGCAACUAAGAACCUAAUAUCAUAAACACACAAAAUUAGCUACCUUUAACACUUAGAUCAUCAAGCAAUGUAUCAAAGGCGUGAAACAUAAUGGAAAAGAAAAGAAAAUAUAUAUACACACACACAAAUAUUCAAGUUAUCAACUCUCACAAUAAUAUGAAUUGCUGUAAGUUCUAUUGUCGUAUAACUUCGUAUAUGUAUGCUAUACGNNNNNNNNNNNNNNNNNNNNNNNNNNNNNNNNNNNNNNNNNNNNNNNNNNNNNNNNNNNNNNNNNNNNNNNUAUAUAUAUAUAUAUAUAUAUAUAUAUAUGGGGCAAUGGGGGUUUUCAUUAGAAGAAAGUCAGUUAUUCAACUCUCACCGUGCACAAAACCGUCAAGCUUAAAUUGAAUUUCUUUUUCUACUAACAAACCAACUCAAAUUAGUUAAAGAAUAUGCAAUGAUAGUUGCAAAUUACAUACCAGCAGCACAUUUAGGAUUAGCACAAUACAUGAUGGAAAUUAGUAGAUAUACCGCCACGAAAGGAUUGAAAAUCAUUGAAAAAAACUUUUAAGAAGGCAAAACGAAAAAGUAGAAUACUAAUCUUAAAUUUGACAAGGGAGCAAGGCCGACUCUAACGUUGUUCCAACUAAGGCUUUUGCCUUAGGCCCCAAAUUUUGGGGCCCAGUUUUUAGAACUAAUAAG
This 1695-nucleotide long non-coding RNA is filed under the name Nicotiana tabacum (common tobacco). RNAcentral describes it as "long non-coding RNA (NTAB_LNC006503)". Lineage: Eukaryota; Viridiplantae; Streptophyta; Magnoliopsida; Solanales; Solanaceae. The record is from RNAcentral.